This 253-nucleotide ribosomal RNA is filed under the name uncultured bacterium. Its description in RNAcentral is "partial 16S ribosomal RNA". It matches the Rfam family "Bacterial small subunit ribosomal RNA", at positions 524 to 776 of the family's 1533-position model. The record is from RNAcentral.
UACGAAGGGGGCUAGCGUUGUUCGGAUUUACUGGGCGUAAAGCGCACGUAGGCGGAUCGUUAAGUCGGGGGUGAAAUCCUGGAGCUCAACUCCAGAACUGCCUUCGAUACUGGCGAUCUUGAGUCCGGAAGAGGUGAGUGGAACUCCUAGUGUAGAGGUGGAAUUCGUAGAUAUUAGGAAGAACACCAAUAGCGAAGGCAGCUCGCUGGGACGUUACUGACACUGAGGCGCGAAAGCGUGGGGAGCGAACAGG